RNAcentral lists this ribosomal RNA (447 nucleotides) under uncultured bacterium. RNAcentral describes it as "SSU rRNA". It matches the Rfam family "Bacterial small subunit ribosomal RNA", at positions 26 to 518 of the family's 1533-position model. The record is from RNAcentral.
AGAACGAACGCUGGCGGCAGGCUUAACACAUGCAAGUCGAACGCGUGUAGCAAUACACGAGUGGCGCACGGGUGAGUAACGCGUGGAUAUCUGCCUUUUGGUUCGGAAUAACCCCGGGAAACUGGGGCUAAUACCGGAUGGUUCCUACGGGAUAAAGAUUUAUCGCCAAAAGAUGAGUCCGCGUCCGAUUAGCUAGUUGGUGGGGUAAUGGCCUACCAAGGCGACGAUCGGUAGCUGGUCUGAGAGGACGAUCAGCCACACUGGGACUGAGACACGGCCCAGACUCCUACGGGAGGCAGCAGUGGGGAAUAUUGGACAAUGGGGGCAACCCUGAUCCAGCCAUGCCGCGUGAGUGAUGAAGGCCUUCGGGUUGUAAAGCUCUUUUGGCGGGACGAUGAUGACGGUACCCGCAGAAUAAGCCCCGGCUAACUUCGCGCCAGCAGCCGC